Molecule: transfer RNA, 73 nt
Filed under: Camelus bactrianus (Bactrian camel)
Lineage: Eukaryota; Metazoa; Chordata; Mammalia; Artiodactyla; Camelidae
Also listed under: 2 other names
Rfam family: tRNA
About the family: Transfer RNA (tRNA) molecules are approximately 80 nucleotides in length. Their secondary structure includes four short double-helical elements and three loops (D, anti-codon, and T loops). Further hydrogen bonds mediate the characteristic L-shaped molecular structure. tRNAs have two regions of fundamental functional importance: the anti-codon, which is responsible for specific mRNA codon recognition, and the 3' end, to which the tRNAs corresponding amino acid is attached (by aminoacyl-tRNA synthetases). tRNAs cope with the degeneracy of the genetic code in two manners: having more than one tRNA (with a specific anti-codon) for a particular amino acid; and 'wobble' base-pairing, i.e. permitting non-standard base-pairing at the 3rd anti-codon position.
Source: Rfam by way of RNAcentral
GGGUAUAUAGCUCAAGUGGUAGAGCACAUGCUUAGCAUGCACAAGGUCCUGGGUUCAAGCCCCAGUACCUCCU